AUUGGAGGGCAAGUCUGGUGCCAGCAGCCGCGGUAAUUCCAGCUCCAAUAGCGUAUAUUAAAGUUGUUGCGGUUAAAAAGCUCGUAGUUCGAGUUCAGUUUCGGACUGGGGUGGGAGGUCACCGCCCGGUGCUUGCCCCCUAGGCUCCGAACAGCUUUCCGUGAGUGGAAGCCAAGCCGGUUCUGGCGGGGUGCUCUUUACCGAGUGUGCCGUACGGCCGGCCAGUUCACCUUGAAUAAAUGAGAGUGCUCAAAGCAGGCUACUCUGGAAUACAAUGCCGGAAUUUUCCUUGCAUGGAAUGAUGGAAGAUGAUCUCGGUUCCAUUUUGUUGGUGGUGGGAGCCCGAGGUAAUGAUAAAGAGGGACUGUCGGGGGCAUCCGUACUACGACGCGAGAGGUGAAAUUCAGUGACCGUCGUAGGACGAACAACAGCGAAAGCAUUUGCCAAGAAUGUCUUCGUUGAUCAAGAACGAAAGUUAGAGGAUCGAAGGCGAUCAGAUACCGCCCUAGUUCUAACCCUAAACGAUGCUGACUAGCAAUUCGCCGUCGUUAUUCCCAUGACGUGGCGAGACGCCCCCGGGAAACCUCAAGUCUUUGAGUUCCGGGGGUAGUAUGGUUGCAAAAGUGAAACUUAAAGGAAUUGACGGAAGGGCACCACCAGGAGUGGAGCCUGCGGCUUAAUUUGACUCAACACGGGAAAGCUCACCAGGCCCGGACACCAGAAGGAUUGACAGAUUAAGAGCUCUUUCUCGAUUU
This 755-nucleotide ribosomal RNA is filed under the name Macrobrachium nipponense. RNAcentral describes it as "SSU rRNA". It matches the Rfam family "Eukaryotic small subunit ribosomal RNA", at positions 547 to 1268 of the family's 1831-position model. Lineage: Eukaryota; Metazoa; Arthropoda; Malacostraca; Decapoda; Palaemonidae. The record is from RNAcentral.